Molecule: long non-coding RNA, 6306 nt
Filed under: Lactuca sativa (garden lettuce)
Lineage: Eukaryota; Viridiplantae; Streptophyta; Magnoliopsida; Asterales; Asteraceae
Description: long non-coding RNA (LSAT_LNC008858)
Source: RNAcentral
GACCGGGUGUUGACCACACUUGAAUAUGGAUUGAAAACCUCCAGCAACUCUUCUUCUUCAUUUCAUUCUCUCAACCCCCCCCCAUUCUCUCUUAAACUCUCAAGAACACAUAAACCCACUUUUCACAUAAAUUCGAUUUCCCGGAGUUCCACCGGUCGGAAUCCGACGAGACCACCGCCAUUCUUCACCAUUUUCCGUGCUCUACAAACCCCACCCGAAAUUUACUCCGAUCCAUUGCCGGGUUUAGGGGCGCCACCACCACCCAACUCGCCGCUUUCCGGCCAUUUUCCGGCCAACUCCGACCACCUUUCGCAAUUCCGACACCACCAAAGUGUUUCUUUUUCCAAGCUCUUUACAUCUAACCGAACAAAACCUCAAAAUCUCACCAAAAAUUUUCCCGGAAUUUUUGAGCCACCACGAGCCGCCGUCGGAUUUUUCACACAAAUAAAGUUGAAAAUUUUCCUUCAGUGAACAAGUCUUGCAAUUUGGCACCCACGAAUAACCAAAGCUUGGGGUGCACGGUAGCGGAUUCCGGGUUCAAGUUCAAUUUUGGGAUAAUUCGGGUAUUUUCUUUCCUUGGUUUUUAUUACAUUGCAUUGUUUCAAUUCGAUAAUUGCAUCCAAUUAUGCUUUGGAAAUUGCCUAGGAUCGUUAGUUGUUGCCCGGUUUAUUUGAAAACAUUGAUUUGAGAAUGGUUGAGAUUGGUUGAUUUGCUUGGAAAUUUGUUCAAAAAUUGUUUAAACUUUGGUUGGGAUUUUCUCAUUUUGUCUCAUAAUGCUGCCGAAUUUUUGUUGGAAUUGUCAAAUUAACCGAGUGGUGUUGUUGAAACCAUUUUAAAUUGUCAAAAGUUGGGUAUCAUUAUUUCUUGGAAUUUUUGUGUUCGGUUUAAAGAUAGUUGCAUUGAUUUGAGAGUGGUGAGGUGAGGGAUUACGUUGGUGAAGUUGUUUUUGAUAUUGUAGGUUUUGAAAAUGGGCAAAACCGCGGCUCGGACACGCACCCAUGGAUCAUCGAUCGAUCCUAACCCGCAAAAGGAUGUCGCCGGUCCAUCACGCAAAACAGCCGGAAAACGGAAAAAAAGAGGAGAAGAGGGAAGCGAUCCUUCCCUUACAAAUGCUGAAAUCAAAACCUAUCGCUCCAACCUUCGGGGUCGCACAAUCCGGCCGACAAAAUUCUACCAUAGAAAGUCCAUGAAAAAGCUUGGGGUGCAUGAUGGUGUAUACAAUUUGUUCCUACAACUGGGUUGGCGUGGUUUUCUUCGACUUUGUGACAGAACUUACGAGGAACCCACAAUGGAAUUUCUUAGCACAUAUGCACGAGAUGAUGAAACGAAAGUCCUCACAUUCCAGUUGAAAGGGGAGCAUCAUAGGCUCACAUACGAAGAGCUUGAUUCCAUCAUGGGUAUAGACGAUCCAUUCCGCAUCAGCUCCCAAAAUCAAGAGUACCAAGAUUUUCUGCGUUACCCGGAUGCAAACUUUUGGAUGCAAAUUUCCGGUCUCACAACCUUUAACCCAAGCCGACAGCGAGCCAAGCACAUCGUUCACCCCUGCUGGCGAAUUGCUCACCGAGUUCUCACGACAAGUAUCUUCGGGCGCCUCGAGCCCGGUCAAAUCAACAGAUGUGAGCUAUUUUUCCUCCGAAGCAUGAGGCGUGCACUCCCCCUCAGUUUUUCAGGCUUCUUUUUAGACAAAUGCGACUCCAUUCGCCAGCGUUCCUCGGGGGAAAUUUUCAUCGGGGGACUUAUCACGAUCAUAGGUCGAGCCGUCGGCCUAGACUUCCCGGCUCCCGAGUACAUACCUGUCGACACCCCACCGAACUUCCUGCUAGAUUGUGAUACUCUCAUCCGGAUGGAGAUGUUGCUCGAUCGGGGAACACGCACGUACAAUUGGUUAGACUCUGACAAAGCCCCGGUUUACAUCCUGCCAAGUUGGAUCGGUUCUUCAUUCGAUACAGACGACCCCGACACUUGGCUUCCUCCAGAUCAGUUGACCCAAGCAGGUGUAUUCCCAGAAUUCGGUGAUGAUGAGGGUGACGAUGCAGAUGAACAAGAGGAAGAAGAUGAAGAAGAGGACGAUGAGAUGCCCGAAGCUGAGGACCAUUUUGACCAGCCNGGGUUGCGCGACCCGCGUGCUGUUGCGCGGGUGGGUUGCGCGGCCAGGUGUGAUGAAGCGACAUUGGCCCAAGACUUAACUGCAAGGUCUGCGCGACCCGCGUGCUACUCUGCGCGACCCGCGCACUGUGCUGGGCAAUUUGGGCUAUUUUUGGCUAUUAUUUGACCAGGUGUUGACCAAAGGUUUUAAUGAGUUGACCUUUUGACUUUUUGUGACCAACAUUGACCGAAAUUGACCCUUUUUGACCCAUAGAUUAAAAUGUUCAGCUUCCCUUCUUCUUCAUUUAAUCAUCUUGACCUCCCACUCCAUUCCUCUCAUAUAACCUUCCAGCACCCACCUCACCGGAAAAUUCAAGAUUGUCGGAGUUCUACUGGUCGUAAUUUCACGAAACCACCGCCACAAACAUCUCCCGUCAUCCAAUCCUCCGAUUUAGGUCAUUUUUGCCCUUACCUUAAGCAUUGAGGACAAUGCUUGUUCUUAAGCUUGGGGUGGGGCAUUUCAUUUUCCUUUUAUAUUUUUUUUUCAUGCAUUUUUAAUUAGGUUGCAUAACAUUUUAGUUUUAAGCUAAUUUUCAUUCAUUUUUUUAUUUUUUUUUAAAUCCAAAAAGAUUUUAUUCUUUUUCUUUUUCACCUUUUAUAUUUUUGCAUAACAUUUAGCUUAGGCAUUAACAUUCAUGCAUUUUUGUUGUCUGUUUAUUCUCACCCCCUGGAUGCCAUGGAAUAGGUUCACAGUUAUUGUAUCAUUAUUGAUCCAGGAUCUUGUUGUUAUCUCAUCCAUCGAACGGGGACCAUUAGCCGCAGUUUGGGAUCUCAUACUUGGGAUCAGAUGUUGGUAGCUUAAAGGGGUAAGUGAUCAUGGACAGGUAGUUUUCAUGAAGAAUUAUGCAUACAAUACUAAUGACUGUAGGAUAUACUAUAGCAAUGGAUGUCUUAGCCUUGCGGUCACUACCGCCGAGAGGAUCACACUUGAUCAUGUUUGAACCGUUAGGAUGAAGCACUAGUGCUACAACGUUCAUGAGUGCUCCUGAAAUAAGAUUUGAGUAUUGGAUUAAACCCAUGCUCCCCUGAAUCACUUCAUGGAAUUUAUCAUGAGUGAUUGUGAGACAAUAAUAUCAUAUAGUCUUCAAACUAAGAUAUAUGGGUUGUUGACUACGAGUUGCUUGUGCAUUGAUGAUACGUAAACGCAUCAGUAACUUGAUGUUAUAAAACGUAUCGUUGUGCAUGAUUUAAUGAGUAGUUAGUACAAGCAUAUAAUGUCGAAGUUUAUCUGUUACUUUAUCCUAAGAGGAUUAAAAGCGAUAUCUUAGGCCCCUCGAUGAUUUGUUUUGACUUAUGUGUCGGGCCCGAUCAGAACUAAAUUGAUGUGUUCAGUUAUGUUCUAUGUCAAGCGAAUCGGAAAUCGGGAAACAAACUGUAGGGCAAUAAGUAUGACUAUGUUCCAUUUAUUUGUCUGCAUGAUAUCUUGAAGAUCAGAGGAGUAUAUGAUCCCUUAUCCAAAGGACGCGUGACUGACUAGGUCAGACUUCGAUAGCGGCUUUUGAAAGUUAUGAUUGCUAAUCGGAUCCUGAAGUUGCAUUGGUAGUUAUAGCUAUUAGGUUUAUCCAUGUGGGACACUACUGGAUUAGGUGUAUAAGCCCAUAACUAUAACUGGGAUGUACUUCACCCGAUAGUAACAUGGUCCUUUUGGGUUGCCUUCACCAGUGCAAUUUAUAUAUUAAUUGAGAAAUCAUAUUAUUUAACUAGUAUUGAUCAAGAAAUAAUUUGGAAUUGAUUUAGUGAUCAAAAGAGACUAAUUAAGUAUACGGGGACUGAUUAAGUAAAUCAGUGAUUCUUUUAGUGUGAGCCAAAGAUCCAUGGUUAAUUAGGAUGCGCUAAACCAACAUGGAUAGUCCAUGGAGGUUUAACCCAUGGAUCCUAAGUAAUGUGAAGGGUCAUGGUGCAUUAGGGAUUGCAUGGAUGUAACCCUAGCAUUUGCAACACUAUAAAUGAACACUCCUAGAGCCAAAAUCGGUUACACCAUUCAUUUUAAGAGAGUGAUAUUGAUUUUGUGCUAACUAGCUAAUUCUCUCAAGUCUCCUCUUGAAUUUGGUUUUUGUGACACCUUAGAGGCAUCACACUUGAGGUGCUAAAGUUUUCAAAGGCCAAGAACUACAACUACAUCAAGAGGUAUUCAUCUAACUAUGAGUCUUGUAUUGUAUAUCCUCCAUUGUAUGCUAGUUAGGAUGUGUGCUUUGGAAAAUUGAAAAUGCAUGUAUAAUUAGAGAAAACAUAGAUCCAAAGCAUCUAGGGUUGUAUGUGCACCGUAGGAGUGUUAUAGUGCUUAAAACCCAACAAUAAUAACAACACAUAAUCAAGUAAGGGUAUUUUGGGAAAUCACCGCUCGGGCUGUGGCUGAUUGUACACACCGCUUCGGAUCCACUUUCAAAACUCUUUAAUCUCUUUGCAAAAAUCGUGUGAUGAAAAAUCAUUCUCAUUUGAAAAGUUAUCAACUCCUUAGUUUGAGUCCAGACAUACUCGAAGGUACAGUCGAAUCCCUCAAACCAAGGCUCUGAUACCAAAUUGUAACGCUUCAAAAUUCAAGGCAAAAUUUUCAUUUUUAAUUCUCAAAAUAUUACUUAUAAAUUCAAGUCAUCACAUAAAUUGUAAGUUAUUAUCAAAACAAUAUCAGUGUAUCCCAAAAUCUUCCAAUCUCCAUAAGCCGGCGGAUGUGUACAAUCAUGCCUUCGCUUUCCGGGAAUCAACAGAAGUACCUAAAACACAUUUAACUCAACACAGUAAGCACGAAGCUUAGUGAGUUUUCCAAGAUAUCACAUACACAAAUAAUAAGCCUCUCAUGGCUAUAUAUUGGCAUGGACCCUCCGGUCAUGCAUCUCAGUGAAGGUCCUCCGGUCUCACGGCUCGGUAUGGACCCUCCGGUCAUGUGUCUUAGUGAAGACCGUCCAGUCUCACAACUAAAUUUGGACCCUCUAGUCCUAACUCAAUAAAUGCACAGAAUAAUAUACAACAUAAACCACAAAGACAAAAUGCAUAAUAUCACAUAACUCGGUAUCAGCACAUAAGGCCCUCCAGUCGAUAACACAUAUAAGACCCUCCCGUUGCACAUUAAUUUCCACUCGGGUAAGUAUAAUGAGAAGACUCACCUCGCAAUUUAAAGCAAGAAUAUCCCACACUCGAACUGCUGGUCUAGACUCCGCCUAACAUAUUUCACAUAUAUCUCUAAUAAUCUUAGAAAUGGGAAAAGACUAUUUUACCCCUCCAUGGCCUCCAAAGUUCACAACUAGACCAAAACCGUAAGUCAAUGGAAGUUAACACUCAAGUCAACAGUCCAUGUUGACUCNNNNNNNNNNNNNNNNNNNNNNNNNNNNNNNNNNNNNNNNNNNNNNNNNNNNNNNNNNNNNNNNNNNNNNNNNNNNNNNNNNNNNNNNNNNNNNNNNNNNUUGGGGCCUUCCGAAUCAAGAACUAGUGAAGAAACGGAAGAAAAUAGAGAAAAAUCGAUUUCCGGAGCAAGGAUCUGCGCGACCCGCGCACGGGUGCGCGGCUGGUGUGCGCGGCCGGUCUUCAACUCGCGACAAAAAUCGGAUUCCUAACUGCAUGAUCCGCGCGACCCGCGCACGGGUGCGCGGCUGGUGUGCGCGGCCGACCUUUAACUUGCGACAUAAAAAUGGGACUAACUGCAUAGGUUGCGCGACCCGCGUGCCCCCUCUGCGCGACCCGCGUGCUUCUUGACGGCUAGCCCUUAUUUUGUUGACCAACUUUGACUUUCGUUGACCAAGUGGUUUAAUGAGUUGACCAACAUUGACCGGGUGUUGACCACACUUGAAUAUGGAUUGAAAACCUCCAGCAACUCUUCUUCUUCAUUUCAUUCUCUCAAACCCCCACCAUUCUCUCUUAAACUCUCAAGAACACAUAAACCCACUUUUCACUAAAAAUCGAUUUCCCGGAGUUCCACCGGUCGGAAUCCGACGAGACCCCCGCCAUUCUUCACCAUUUUCCGUGCUCUACAAACCCCACCCGAAAUUUACUCCGAUCCAUUGCCGGGUUUAGGGGCGCCACCACCACCCAACUCGCCGCUUUCCGACCAUUUUCCGGCCAACUCUGACCACCUUUCGCAAUUCCGACACCACCAAAGUGUUUCCUUUUCCAAGCUCUUUACAUCUAACCGAACAAAACCUCAAAAUCUCACCAAAAAUUUUCCCGGAA